Molecule: ribosomal RNA, 633 nt
Filed under: Limosilactobacillus mucosae
Lineage: Bacteria; Bacillati; Bacillota; Bacilli; Lactobacillales; Lactobacillaceae
Description: bacterial SSU rRNA
Rfam family: Bacterial small subunit ribosomal RNA
Source: RNAcentral
CAACUGAUUGAACGUGCUUGCACGGACUUGACGUUGGUUUACCAGCGAGUGGCGGACGGGUGAGUAACACGUAGGUAACCUGCCCCAAAGCGGGGGAUAACAUUUGGAAACAGAUGCUAAUACCGCAUAACAAUUUGAAUCGCAUGAUUCAAAUUUAAAAGAUGGCUUCGGCUAUCACUUUGGGAUGGACCUGCGGCGCAUUAGCUUGUUGGUAGGGUAACGGCCUACCAAGGCUGUGAUGCGUAGCCGAGUUGAGAGACUGAUCGGCCACAAUGGAACUGAGACACGGUCCAUACUCCUACGGGAGGCAGCAGUAGGGAAUCUUCCACAAUGGGCGCAAGCCUGAUGGAGCAACACCGCGUGAGUGAAGAAGGGUUUCGGCUCGUAAAGCUCUGUUGUUAGAGAAGAACGUGCGUGAGAGCAACUGUUCACGCAGUGACGGUAUCUAACCAGAAAGUCACGGCUAACUACGUGCCAGCAGCCGCGGUAAUACGUAGGUGGCAAGCGUUAUCCGGAUUUAUUGGGCGUAAAGCGAGCGCAGGCGGUUUGAUAAGUCUGAUGUGAAAGCCUUUGGCUUAACCAAAGAAGUGCAUCGGAAACUGUCAGACUUGAGUGCAGAAGAGGACAGUGGAA